CCUACGGGAGGCAGCAGUGAGGAAUAUUGGUCAAUGGGCGAGAUCCUGAACCAGCCAAGCCGCGUGAGGGAAGACGGCCCUAUGGGUUGUAAACCUCUUUUGUCGGGGAACAAAACCCGGGACGUGUCCCGGCCUGCGUGUAUCCGAAGAAAAAGCAUCGGCUAAAUUCGUGCCAGCAGCCGCGGUAAUACGGAGGAUGCGAGCGUUAUCCGGAUUUAUUGGGUUUAAAGGGUGCGUAGGCGGUCCGUUAAGUCAGCGGGAAAAUGGCGGGGCUCAACCCUGUCGAGCCGUUGAAACUGGCAGACUUGAGUUGGCGAGAAGGACGCGGAAUGCGCGGUGUAGCGGUGAAAUGCAUAGAUAUCGCGCAGAACUCCGAUUGCGAAGGCAGCGUACCGGCGCCAGACUGACGCUGAGGCACGAAAGCGUGGGGAUCGAACAGGAUUAGAUACCCCGGUAGUC
Molecule: ribosomal RNA, 459 nt
Filed under: uncultured bacterium
Lineage: Bacteria
Description: partial 16S ribosomal RNA
Rfam family: Bacterial small subunit ribosomal RNA
Source: RNAcentral